Molecule: ribosomal RNA, 539 nt
Filed under: uncultured bacterium
Lineage: Bacteria
Description: bacterial SSU rRNA
Rfam family: Bacterial small subunit ribosomal RNA
Source: RNAcentral
UGAGGAAUAUUGGUCAAUGGUCGGAAGACUGAACCAGCCAUGCCGCGUGCAGGAAGAAUGCCUUAUGGGUUGUAAACUGCUUUUAUAUGGGAAGAAUAAGGCGUACGUGUACGUUGAUGACGGUACCAUAUGAAUAAGCAUCGGCUAACUCCGUGCCAGCAGCCGCGGUAAUACGGAGGAUGCGAGCGUUAUUCGGAAUCAUUGGGUUUAAAGGGUCUGUAGGCGGGCUAUUAAGUCAGGGGUGAAAGGUUUCAGCUUAACUGAGAAAUUGCCUUUGAUACUGGUAGUCUUGAAUAUCUGUGAAGUUCUUGGAAUGUGUAGUGUAGCGGUGAAAUGCUUAGAUAUUACACAGAACACCGAUUGCGGAGGCAGGGGACUAACAGACGAUUGACGCUGAGAGACGAAAGCGUGGGGAGCGAACAGGAUUAGAUACCCUGGUAGUCCACGCUGUAAACGAUGGAUACUAGCUGUUUGGAGUAAUUUGAGUGGCUAAGCGAAAGUGAUAAGUAUCCCACCUGGGGAGUACGCACGCAAGUGUG